This 546-nucleotide ribosomal RNA is filed under the name uncultured Glomeromycotina. RNAcentral's name for it is "SSU rRNA". It matches the Rfam family "Eukaryotic small subunit ribosomal RNA", at positions 548 to 1098 of the family's 1831-position model. The record is from RNAcentral. Lineage: Eukaryota; Fungi; Glomeromycota.
UUGGAGGGCAAGUCUGGUGCCAGCAGCCGCGGUAAUUCCAGCUCCAAUAGCGUAUAUUAAAGUUGUUGCAGUUAAAAAGCUCGUAGUUGAAUUUCGAGAUCAAUUUAUUGGUCGUGCCAACGGUACGCACUGGUACAAUUGGUUUCUCCCUUCCGACGAAGUAUGAUGUCAUUAACUUGAUGUCGUAUGGAAUCUGGACUUUUACUUUGAAAAAAUUAGAGUGUUUAAAGCAGGCUUUGGCUUGAAUACAUUAGCAUGGAAUAAUGAAAUAGGACGUUUGAUCUUAUCUCGUUGGUUUCUAAGAUCGAUGUAAUGAUUAAUAGGGAUAGUUGGGGGCAUUAGUAUUCAAUUGUCAGAGGUGAAAUUCUUGGAUUUAUUGAAGACUAACUACUGCGAAAGCAUUUGCCAAGGAUGUUUUCAUUAAUCAAGAACGAAAGUUAGGGGAUCGAAGACGAUCAGAUACCGUCGUAGUCUUAACCAUAAACUAUGCCGACUAGGGAUCGGAUGAUAAUUUUUUAAUGAAUCAUUCGGCGCCUUACGGGAAAC